Molecule: small nuclear RNA, 70 nt
Filed under: Bacillus subtilis
Lineage: Bacteria; Bacillati; Bacillota; Bacilli; Caryophanales; Bacillaceae
Description: unknown snRNA
Source: RNAcentral
AUCGCGCGGGGUAUAGUGUGUACCACAGUAGACGAUGAUCAUGACUAGACUAGACGAUACAGUAAAAUGA